RNAcentral lists this ribosomal RNA (433 nucleotides) under uncultured bacterium. Its description in RNAcentral is "partial 16S ribosomal RNA". It matches the Rfam family "Bacterial small subunit ribosomal RNA", at positions 29 to 506 of the family's 1533-position model. The record is from RNAcentral.
AGCGAACGCUGGCGGCAGGCCUAACACAUGCAAGUCGAACGAACCUUUCGGGGUUAGUGGCGGACGGGUGAGUAACACGUGGGAACGUGCCUUUAGGUUCGGAAUAACUCAGGGAAACUUGUGCUAAUACCGAAUGUGCCCUUCGGGGGAAAGAUUAAUCGCCUUUAGAGCGGCCCGCGUCUGAUUAGCUAGUUGGUUGAGGUAAUGGCUCACCAAGGCGACGAUCAGUAGCUGGUCUGAGAGGAUGAUCAGCCACAUUGGGACUGGGACACGGCCCAAACUCCUACGGGAGGCAGCAGUGGGGAAUCUUGCGCAAUGGGCGAAAGCCUGACGCAGCCAGGCCGCGUGAAUGAUGAAGGUCUUAGGAUUGUAAAAUUCUUUCACCGGGGACGAUAAUGACGGUACCCGGAGAAGAAGCCCCGGCUAACUUCGG